GACGAACGCUGGCGGCGUGCUUAACACAUGCAAGUCGAACGGAAAGGCCCUGCUUUUGUGGGGUGCUCGAGUGGCGAAGGGGUGAGUAACACGUGAGUAACCUGCCCUUGACUUUGGGAUAACUUCAGGAAACUGGGGCUAAUACCGGAUAGGAGCUCCUGCUGCAUGGUGGGGGUUGGAAAGUUGCGGCGGUUGGGGAUGGACGCGCGGCUGAUGAGCUUGUUGGUGGGGUAGUGGCUGACCAAGGCUUGGACGGGUAGCCGGCCUGAGAGGGUGACCGGGCACAUUGGGACUGAGAUACGGAGCAGACUCCUACGGGAGGCAGCAGUGGGGAAUAUUGCACAAUGGGCGGAAGCCUGAUGCAGCAACGCCGCGUGCGGGAUGACGGCCUUCGGGUUGUAAACCGCUUUCGCCUGUGACGAAGCGUGAGUGACGGUAAUGGGUAAAGAAGCACCGGCUAACUACGUG
RNAcentral lists this ribosomal RNA (468 nucleotides) under uncultured bacterium. RNAcentral describes it as "partial 16S ribosomal RNA". It matches the Rfam family "Bacterial small subunit ribosomal RNA", at positions 28 to 507 of the family's 1533-position model. The record is from RNAcentral.